GAUGAAGAACGCAGCGAAAUGCGAUAAUUAAUGUGAAUUGCAGAAUUCAGUGAAUCAUCGAGUCUUUGAACGCACAUUGCGCCCCCUGGUAUUCCGGAGGGCAUGUCUGUCCGAGCGUCAUUAGUCCAAUCUCAAGCCCGGCUUGUCGUUGGGUCGCACCGCCCGGGGCGGUGGACCCGAAAUAUAAUGACGGGGUCUAGCGGACCGUGGGCGCAGCGAGCUUUUACAGCACGCGUCCCGGCGUCAUCUAGACGCGUCUCCAACCAUACUCUCUGUAGGUUGACCUCGGAUCAGACAGGAUUACCCGCUGAACUUAAGCAUAUCAAUAAGCGGAGGA
This 337-nucleotide unclassified non-coding RNA is filed under the name soil metagenome. RNAcentral's name for it is "partial contains 5.8S ribosomal RNA, internal transcribed spacer 2, and large subunit ribosomal RNA". The stretch from base 1 to 120 matches the Rfam family "5.8S ribosomal RNA", at positions 35 to 154 of the family's 154-position model. The record is from RNAcentral.